Molecule: small nucleolar RNA, 107 nt
Filed under: Arabidopsis lyrata subsp. lyrata
Lineage: Eukaryota; Viridiplantae; Streptophyta; Magnoliopsida; Brassicales; Brassicaceae
Description: Plant small nucleolar RNA R71
Rfam family: Plant small nucleolar RNA R71
About the family: R71 is a member of the C/D box family of snoRNAs containing the C (UGAUGA) and D (CUGA) box motifs. Multiple nearly identical copies of this snoRNA have been identified in Arabidopsis, and it is thought to function as a 2'-O-ribose methylation guide for 18S ribosomal RNA.
Source: Rfam by way of RNAcentral
UAUCUAUGAUGAGGAUAAUCUCUGAGAUAGUCCUUGAAUCGCAACCAAACUUCAUGAAAACGCUCUGUUUCAUCCUGCUGGAAUGUGGUGAUCUUGUUCCAGAGCGA